RNAcentral lists this ribosomal RNA (372 nucleotides) under uncultured prokaryote. RNAcentral's name for it is "bacterial SSU rRNA". It matches the Rfam family "Bacterial small subunit ribosomal RNA", at positions 524 to 896 of the family's 1533-position model. The record is from RNAcentral.
UACGUAGGGUGCAAGCGUUAAUCGGAAUUACUGGGCGUAAGGCGUGGGCAGGCGGUUAUAUAAGUCAAAUGGGAAAUCCCCGGGCCCAACCUGGGGACUGCAUUUGAGACUGUAUAGCUAGAGUACGGUAGAGGGGGAUGGAAUUUCGCGUGUAGCAGUGAAAUGCGUAGAUAUGCGGAGGAACACCGAUGGCGAAGGCAAUCCCCUGGACCGGUACUGACGCUCAUGCACGAAAGCGUGGGGAGCAAACAGGAUUAGAUACCCUGGUAGUCCACGCCCUAAACGAUGUCAACUGGUUGUUGGGUCUUAACUGACUCAGUAACGAAGCUAACGCGUGAAGUUGACCGCCUGGGGAGUACGGCCGCAAGGUUG